AUAUAUCAAGCAACAAUUGUUUUUAUUAACAAUUGUCUGUUUGGACGUUGGAUGUUUGCUGGACAGUUAUAUGUCACCCGGCUCAUCCGAAAUCUAUUAGCUGGUCUUAAUAUCAUGGAUUUAUCCACUUGGCGUGAUAAGUAUCACCCGCUGAGGACUUGUCCAGAGAUAAUGGACCGCUUCUAAUCCCAGAUACUAUUGUAUUGUACUGAAUCAU
Molecule: unclassified non-coding RNA, 217 nt
Filed under: uncultured Tremellomycetes
Lineage: Eukaryota; Fungi; Basidiomycota; Tremellomycetes
Description: sequence contains ITS2
Source: RNAcentral